GAUGAACGCUGGCGGCGUGCCUAAUACAUGCAAGUCGAGCGAACGGACGAGAAGCUUGCUUCUCUGAUGUUAGCGGCGGACGGGUGAGUAACACGUGGAUAACCUACCUAUAAGACUGGGAUAACUUCGGGAAACCGGAGCUAAUACCGGAUAAUAUUUUGAACCGCAUGGUUCAAAAGUGAAAGACGGUCUUGCUGUCACUUAUAGAUGGAUCCGCGCUGCAUUAGCUAGUUGGUAAGGUAACGGCUUACCAAGGCAACGAUGCAUAGCCGACCUGAGAGGGUGAUCGGCCACACUGGAACUGAGACACGGUCCAGACUCCUACGGGAGGCAGCAGUAGGGAAUCUUCCGCAAUGGGCGAAAGCCUGACGGAGCAACGCCGCGUGAGUGAUGAAGGUCUUCGGAUCGUAAAACUCUGUUAUUAGGGAAGAACAUAUGUGUAAGUAACUGUGCACAUCUUGACGGUACCUAAUCAGAAAGCCACGGCUAACUACGUGCCAGCAGCCGCGGUAAUACGUANGUGGCAAGCGUUAUCCGGAAUUAUUGGGCGUAAAGCGCGCGUAGGCGGUUUUUUAAGUCUGAUGUGAAAGCCCACGGCUCAACCGUGGAGGGUCAUUGGAAACUGGAAAACUUGAGUGCAGAAGAGGAAAGUGGAAUUCCAUGUGUAGCGGUGAAAUGCGCAGAGAUAUGGAGGAACACCAGUGGCGAAGGCGACUUUCUGGUCUGUAACUGACGCUGAUGUGCGAAAGCGUGGGGAUCAAACAGGAUUAGAUACCCUGGUAGUCCACGCCGUAAACGAUGAGUGCUAAGUGUUAGGGGGUUUCCGCCCCUUAGUGCUGCAGCUAACGCAUUAAGCACUCCGCCUGGGGAGUACGACCGCAAGGUUGAAACUCAAAGGAAUUGACGGGGACCCGCACAAGCGGUGGAGCAUGUGGUUUAAUUCGAAGCAACGCGAAGAACCUUACCAAAUCUUGACAUCCUUUGACAACUCUAGAGAUAGAGCUUUCCCCUUCGGGGGACAAAGUGACAGGUGGUGCAUGGUUGUCGUCAGCUCGUGUCGUGAGAUGUUGGGUUAAGUCCCGCAACGAGCGCAACCCUUAAGCUUAGUUGCCAUCAUUAAGUUGGGCACUCUAAGUUGACUGCCGGUGACAAACCGGAGGAAGGUGGGGAUGACGUCAAAUCAUCAUGCCCCUUAUGAUUUGGGCUACACACGUGCUACAAUGGACAAUACAAAGGGCAGCGAAACCGUGAGGUCAAGCAAAUCCCAUAAAGUUGUUCUCAGUUCGGAUUGUAGUCUGCAACUCGACUACAUGAAGCUGGAAUCGCUAGUAAUCGUAGAUCAGUAUGCUACGGUGAAUACGUUCCCGGGUCU
Molecule: ribosomal RNA, 1372 nt
Filed under: uncultured bacterium
Lineage: Bacteria
Description: bacterial SSU rRNA
Rfam family: Bacterial small subunit ribosomal RNA
Source: RNAcentral